RNAcentral lists this transfer RNA (80 nucleotides) under subsurface metagenome. Its description in RNAcentral is "tRNA-Asp". The record is from RNAcentral.
AGGCGACGGAGCUGCCGGCGAUUACAGCACGCCAUUUUAUCAAAGAGUCGGCGGUUUUGUUCGGCUCGAUAGUCGCUUUC